AGGAUAAACGCUGGCGGCGUGCCUAACACAUGCAAGUCGAACGUCUCUUCUUUCGGGAAGAGGAGUGGCGGACGGGUGAGGAACACGUGGGAACCUGCCCUUCAGUGAGGAAUACCGGCGAGAAAUCGCCGACAAGACCGCAUAGCCCUCUCUGGUGAGAGCCAGAGAAGGAAAGCCUCGCAAGAGGCGCUGGAGGAGGGGCCUGCGUCCGAUUAGCUAGUUGGUGGGGUAAGAGCCUACCAAGGCGUCGAUCGGUAGCUGGUCUGAGAGGACGAUCAGCCACACUGGGAUUGAGAACGGCCCAGACUCCUACGGGGGCAGCAGUGAGGAAUUUUCGGCAAUGGGGAAACCCUGACCGAGCAACGCCGCGUGCAGGAAGACGGCCUUCGGUUGUAAACUGCUUUCUUUGGGACGAGCAAGGACGGUACCAGAGGAAUCAGCCCGGCUCACUACGUGCCAGCAGCCGC
This 467-nucleotide ribosomal RNA is filed under the name uncultured bacterium. RNAcentral describes it as "SSU rRNA". It matches the Rfam family "Bacterial small subunit ribosomal RNA", at positions 26 to 518 of the family's 1533-position model. The record is from RNAcentral.